GAUAGUUGGCUGGAGUGCCUGCCUGCCUUCUAAUUUCUUUUUCUUCUGACAGUGCUAGUCAUUGCGUGUGUGCAUCAUGUGUGUGCAUGGCGCGUUUGGUGUGAGUGACAGUGUAGAAAUUUGCACGUCACUGCAACAUGAUAUACUCUAUUGCAAAAAAAAAUAUGCAGCUAUCAGUAGUGGCAAGUUUAGUCCUUGCAUUUUUGCAAUAGGGUGCACAUUUAUAACAGUAUGGCACCAAUUAUUUGGUAAGUCAAGGUCCUGUAUUUGCAGCAAGGCAACAGCUGUGCAAAUUGCACCAUUUUGAAACAAUAAGCUCGCUCAUUUGGGCUAUUUGAUUACAUUGACAAUCAUUGUUUAUAGUUUCUGCAUGAUUUCUUUGUUAAACUGCUCCAAAUUUGGAAUUGUGUGCUUCAAAAUGUAGUUGCCUCGUAACCUGCGCUAAAUGCUAAUUCAGCUGUUGCACCCCUGAUUAUAUUGAUGUCACUGCAAAAAGAGCAGCUGCAGUUGAAUGAAAUGGGAGAAGCAAUUUAUAAUGGUUUCUCAUAUACAAUGCAGGGGCUGCUUUAGGAGUACAUAGAUGGUGCCAGUUUCAUUAUGCUGUAGUGGUCAGCAUAAACAAACUAGUUUGCAGUCUUAAAAGUAAUUUACCUAUCUUUGAUGCAAACGUUUUCCUCUUUAUUUUAACUAUGCCAUAUUGCUCUUUUUACUCUCAUUGUAGGAGUAUUGAGGUGUGCAGAGGAAAUUUCAUUUACGAAAGCUGGUCUAAAUGUGGCCUAAUGCUUGUUUGAUUGAUGAAACCUAAAUGUAUAUUUUGGCUUGGAUCAGUUCUCCCAGCACCUUUAAUGCAGUACACUGUCUUACGUUGCUUGUCAGAUAUCCGUGCCAUUGCUAAUAGUGUCACUGAGAUUUUUGGCUGCAGCAUCUGCAUGCUGCUAAUGUUCCAGGGCAAUUUAAAUGAUCGAAAUAUUUCAUGCCACUAUGGGCUGACAGCAACAUGCCAAGUUGAACUUGGCCUGCUUGAAGUACUUGCUCUGCCAGUGCACGUUAGGUGGUGUGCAAGCAAUUCAACAACCAAUAAGCUAUAAAAGUGCAUGCCUGCACUCAUUACUAGGUUGUUUGUUUUUUUGUCGGCAUUGUGCAAUGGUUUUCCUUCUCUGGACUGAUUUAGUUGGGCAGACUUGGGGCAUGUUUUGAUGUUAGUGCAUGUGCUUCAGUCUUCAAUGUUUUUACUGCUAUUGUAUUGUGAAAGCAGCAUAACCUGGGUGCUGCUUUGUGCAUAAUUAAUUGAAUUGUGGCUGGGACUUGCUUCUUUGCAUUUUCGUUUUGGUCCUGCAUAAGCAGGCAUCGCUUCUGUAGAUGUGGCCAGUUGUUUCUGUGUAGACUUUUCUCCGUGUGCAUACUUGUUUGCUUGUGUGAACUGAAAGCAUGCUGGCACUGUUUCCUACUCUGUUCAGUCCUCUGUGAUCUGGCUUCUAUGAUCUAACCUCUAGUUAGUUGCUUGGAUUUAUUGCUUCCUUGUAGCAAUGUGCAUGGCUGUCUACUUUCUCUCUUUCACUAAGGCACUGUAAAACCAGCGUUUUCACCAAUGCUGUAAGAAUUAACAUUCAAGAUUUUAAGAUAUUUCUUUGAAGAGGCCAAUGCAAAUGGCAUAUUACCAUUCCAUUGAAAAGUGGGCCAAUGCAAACUGCACAUUACUUCAGCACUGUUGGCCAUUUGUCACAGGUUCAGUGCUAAGUGCUGUGAAGUGCUGUGAAUGAAAUGUGACUGAUGAAGAAACUUUUCUAGGAUUCAUGUCCUGUGGAGUCCAUUCAAUGAAUGCAAUAAGUCCACAAUGAAACUGACGUGGACUAUGCCAGUGCAAUGAAACCUGCCUGUGCCUGACAUGGUUGACUCGCCAUAACUUUAAUCUUUACAGUUUUAUUAUUGAAGGGCCAAGUCUCCGCUGCUUGGACGGCAAGGUGCAUGGUGAAGAUUAGACAUUGAAGACAACCACUACAUCACCAUAACCACCACCACCACCACAUCUGUGACUAGCGUUCCUUGUUUUCAUCGGCGCCAUUUGUUUGUUUCAGUCUUCAUUCAAUUUCACAUUGACCACUGCAUGCACUGAACGCAAAUGCCAUUGCAUGGCGUUUUCAUGCUUGGCGUCAUCCAUGUGGUGUUAUUAAAGGACUAAAUAAGAACUGGUA
RNAcentral lists this long non-coding RNA (2192 nucleotides) under Dermacentor andersoni. RNAcentral describes it as "uncharacterized LOC126547290". Lineage: Eukaryota; Metazoa; Arthropoda; Arachnida; Ixodida; Ixodidae. The record is from RNAcentral.